Molecule: long non-coding RNA, 2625 nt
Filed under: Salmo salar (Atlantic salmon)
Lineage: Eukaryota; Metazoa; Chordata; Actinopteri; Salmoniformes; Salmonidae
Description: lncRNA (ENSSSAG00000092429.1)
Source: RNAcentral
UGGGGAUGUAACCAUAACUAGAGCCUGCACAGUGUUUGUUGUUGCUUGGUAGCUUAGAACUUGGUCCUGAAAUGAAGCAUGGCUAUUAAAAGUGAAAGGAACAGAAAGAAGGCGAGGGGGAAAGAGGGAAAAUGGUGAGGAAAAAGUUAACCCCUUUAUUUGCAUAUUAGGAUGCCUGAACAUUCUGGUGAUCCAUUUAUCGUGCUCUCUCGUUCUGAGAGAAAAUACGUUUGAGAAAAGUUCUCUCGAGUUCUCACUUUAUUUUCUACAAUAAUCAUGAUCAACAUUAUUAAUAUAACAAGUCAAUAAAUAUCAACAUACUGUUCCUCCAGAUAAUCAGGGCAGUAGCAAGUAGCACCUUGUAGGUCUACCAUCCAUAAUUGCAUGAGUGAGAUAGACUUGUUAGGAGGAUCAUUUCCAUAAUGAAACAGACCUAUGGGGUUAACUAACAGGUAAGCAGUAUUCUUCCAGUUCUCUCAUGUCUCCACCUGGUGAUGAAGUGACUGUAUUACAGCCUGACAGCCAGGAGACCUUCCACAGUAACAGGAUCACAGUGAGUGUUUAGUCAUGGGACAUCCUAUUGUUGACUGCUGACCAACAUACCUGGCACAUGUUAAUAACAUAUGUGUCAUAACAAUAGCAUUACAGCCCAAUGAUACUCUGGGCUGUCUAAAACCCUUUACCAUGGCAAUGAAUACCUCCACUGUAUGAAUCGGGUCCCUAAUCUUAUUUUUAACAGAGAUCCACUUCAAUGAAUGGCAUAGAUACAGCCAUUCACAGAUUCCCAAGAACAGAUUUCAGAUUCUAGAAUCCAAUCUGCCUUCUAGAACCAUCCUUGACUGACAGUUGGUUGUUGUACAGGUACUGACAUGACUUUUAAUGUUUAGUCUGUCAUCAAAAGCCUCAUCUAAAUAUGACUUCUAUCUGAACUGAUACAUUCUCAUUUUAAUGUUUAGUCUGUCAUCAGAUAGAAGUAAUAUUUUGAUGAGCUGAUGGUAGUUCCUCUUCACAGUCUGAUUAUAAUGAAGAUCAUAAAUGGAUACAUUUACAUCGCUGUCUCGCAUGUCUUUAUUGGAAUAACCCCACAGGAAAAAUACAUCAAAUGACACCAAAACAAAAACUUUUUUGAUCAUACUAGAAUUUAUACACUCCACCACACACAUACCUUAUUUAAUAAAGUAAGAAAAAUAAUGGAAACAAAAUAUAAUUCAUAGAAUUGUACAAUAUACAGAAUUUACAAAUCCAAAUCCAAACGCUGCCAGUGUUCUACCAGGUGUUGAAAUAAGUGAAACCUGUUUUAACGGGACUAUUUCAAAUAAAGAUUUACCUUUAUACUGUAUGUCCACGGCAUGGCAAUAUUAAAGUGUUGAUAUCAACCAUGGUAAAGAAAAUAUAAAAUAAAUAAUGUGCUAUUGAGGUAGUGAGUGCUCGACUGGAAGGUAAACUAUCACACUAGAUAUUUGUAUGUUGUUUAAGUAUGUCUCAGAAAACAAAUGUUGUGCAAAUAGUUAGUUGACAAAGAAUCUGCAUCAGAGUGUUUCUGGAUCAGGGAGCUAUACAGGAAGUGUAUUUGCUCCGCUACACCUGCAAAUCAAAUCAGAUUCACAACCUGUGAGCUCAGUGUUCAGUCAUGGUUUGGUUACUCAACACCCAAGGUCUUGGUCUAGGUCUGGGGUCAGAGUCUAGUUCUGGUCUUGGUCUCAAGAGUCUUUAUAUACACAUGGUCUUGGUCUAUCUUUAGUUGUGACUCUAUCCCUCUCUUCCUGUUCACUAUAUCUCUACAUCACUCCCAUCCAGUGCCCCAUCACCAGUGACAUUAGUGACCCAAUGAUGACGAUGAUGCUGUUAUAGAUGGGCCCGCUGGAUGCUCCAUAGUAGUACUCCAUAUCCCCAGAGCCUUCUGGUCCCUCAUAGCCACCAGGCCUGGGGCCAUACCCUCCACCUCUGGGGUAGCCCCCAUAGCCUCCUCCAUAGCCUCCAUAACCCCCCCCCAUAACCACCUCCAUACCCCCCAUAUCCUCCUCCAUAGCCAGGACGACUCAGGGCACUGCCCAGCAUUGCUCCCCCCCAGGGCACCAGCAGCAGCAGCCCCUGCCAUCUUCCCCGCACUGGAGCCUCCACUCUGGGCAGGCAUUGGUCGGUAUGCCGGUCCGCUCGAGGAUGGCAUUGGUCGGUAUCCCGUGCCUCCACCUUGACGAGGGUAACCGCUACCUCCACGUCUACUACCUCCCCACCCCCCACCGCCACUACGUCCAAAGCCCCCACCACGACGAGCCUCUAAGGUGGGGCAUAGGGUUGCUAGGAGAAAUAGGCAGGUUGCCACGGUGAGGAGAAGUCUCUGUUGGCCAACCAUCAUUGUUCCCUGUGAAGACAAGAACAUGACGAGUUUGUGAUGAGCAUAUCCCACAUUUCUACACUAGUGCUGGGUCGUUACCAAGACGAGAACAAGACAUGAACAUAAGCAUGAUCUGUGUUUAGUGUGAGACCCCCACAGUGACAUAAUGCCUGCAUUCAUCAGCUUGUCUGGAAAGUCUGUCCAGUGAUUAGUAUGGUGGAACACAAUGUACACACACACACACGUAAUAAUAUGGUAGAACACAACGCAUACACACACUAAUGUUCUCG